GCUAUGGCGAGACGCAGCGUACGGCUCAGUAACACGUGGCUAACCUACCCUUGGGACGGGGACAACCCCGGGAAACUGGGGCUAAUACCCGAUAGGUGAGGAGGCCUGGAAUGGUCCCUCGCCAAAAGGACUAAGGGCCAUGCUUCCUAUGUCGCCCAAGGAUGGGGCCGCGGCCCGAUCAGGUUGUUGGUGAGGUAACGGCUCACCAAGCCUAUAACCGGUACGGGCCAUGAGAGUGGUAGCCCGGAGAUGGGCACUGAGACAAGGGCCCAAGCCCUACGGGGUGCAGCAGUUGCGAAACCUCCGCAAUGCGCGAAAGCGUGACGGGGUUACCCCAAGUGCCGUCCGCUGAGGAUGGCUUUUCUCUGGUGUAAUGAGUCGGAGGAAUAAGGGGAGGGCAAGACUGGUGUCAGCCGCCGCGGUAAUACCAGCUCCCCGAGUGGUAGGGAUAAUUAUUGGGCUUAAAGCGUCCGUAGCCGGCCUGAAAAGUCUUCCGUUAAAUCCAGCGACCUAAUCGCUGGGUUGCGGGAAAUACUUCCAGGCUAGGGGACGUGAGAGGCCGACGGUAUUCUCGGGGUAGGGGUGAAAUCCUAUAAUCCCGGGAGGACCACCAGUGGCGAAGGCGGUCGGCUAGAACGCGCUCGACGGUGAGGGACGAAAGCUGGGGGAGCGAACCGGAUUAGAUACCCGGGUAGUCCCAGCUGUAAACGAUGCGGGCUAGGUGUUGGAGCGGAUACGAACCGCUUCGGUGCCGCAGGGAAACUGUUAAGCCCGCCGCCUGGGAAGUACGGUCGCAAGGCUGAAACUUAAAGGAAUUGGCGGGGGAGCACUACAAGGCGUGAAGCUUGCGGUUUAAUUGGAGUCAACGCCGGGAAUCACUAGU
RNAcentral lists this ribosomal RNA (883 nucleotides) under uncultured archaeon. Its description in RNAcentral is "bacterial SSU rRNA". It matches the Rfam family "Archaeal small subunit ribosomal RNA", at positions 65 to 934 of the family's 1478-position model. The record is from RNAcentral.